RNAcentral lists this long non-coding RNA (620 nucleotides) under Anas platyrhynchos platyrhynchos (common mallard). RNAcentral's name for it is "lncRNA (ENSAPLG00000017970.1)". The record is from RNAcentral. Lineage: Eukaryota; Metazoa; Chordata; Aves; Anseriformes; Anatidae.
AUUUCUUUAAGAAUGAAAUUUAAUCAGUUCUCAACACUUUUGAAUAAUGAUUUGCUCUAUGAAAGUGAGCUGGCAGUUCUGAAAAUAUUUUUCAGGGCCCUGUGCCCACUCACACUGAGACUAGGCAGACAUCUUGCUGUGCUGUGUUGUUGCAACUCCCUUUUUUCCUGACAGUGGAUUGAGUGAGGAGGAGACCCAAAUGAUAGCUGAGACAGACCACAUGCAGAUAUGCAUUCACAGCUGCAUGGUUGGAGCUAUAGCUGGGAUACCCAGAAGCAGAGGAUCAGACCAACAUCAGACCAACGGCUUGCAACUAAUUUUCUCCAAGUGGAUGACUUUAACCAGAACAUAUAAGGCACAUUCUAAGACACAAAGACCUUUCAUUCUCCUUCAUCUACACCCUGCACCCCUGAAGGUGCCUUGGCUACAGAUCUCAGUUUAUGUUCUGCUUAAGGAGCAGGAUAUCUGGCAGUACUUUCCCAGAGGAUUUAAUUGAGAAAUCACACUGUGACAUACAGACAGUUUUUGGAAAAGCCUACAGCAAAGAGUAAGUUCCAAACUGCUAUUCUUUAGUAGCUGUAUACAUUAUUGUACUCUCAUGUCUUCAUUUGCUUACUUUU